Molecule: long non-coding RNA, 8302 nt
Filed under: Olea europaea (common olive)
Lineage: Eukaryota; Viridiplantae; Streptophyta; Magnoliopsida; Lamiales; Oleaceae
Description: long non-coding RNA (OEUR_LNC005945)
Source: RNAcentral
UCCAUUUUCAUGUUUGUCAAUAAAAAUUUCACUUUUAUGUACCUCAUAUAAUUUCCUCGAAUACGUAUGAUUUGAAUAGCAUGCUUUAGCAGAAGUAUAUGGCAAAAGCAAAUGCAAAAACAAAGGAUUAAUAUUAAUAUUCAGAAGCUAAAACAUUGGCGCCUAAUACACAACUCACACAAUAAUUUGCAAUAAUAUCCUACUAAGAAAAAUAGAUAAUAAUUCUAGUAUCCUGGCAUCAUCUUCAGUCGGAGGAAGUUAAGCUGCCAAAAUUAAAAUCAGCAGAGUCAAACAGAUCUGAGACUACACUCUACUACGACAAUACUUUUUUGUGUAAAUUUGUAGGUUAAAAGAAUCUAAAGAACAUAGCAUACCCCCAGCCUGAGGGAAGUAUCAAAUUCAUGAGAAUUGUUGAUACACUGUGAUGGAUUGCUUUGCUCAAUACCCUUUCCAGUACCCUCAGAUUUCUGCAUAAACAGUUCGCUCAGUGACUUGAGAACACGAAAAAAUUGCUACUAAAUUCCAGUGCAUGCAGUAAGAGAAAUUAUAUAAAUUUUGAAAAUAAAAUAUCAAUUCUCACUUCUGCUCGCUGUUUCAACUUGGCAUUUUCUUCCAUUAGUUUAGAUUCCUGCAUAUCAGAAAAAUCAACUAAUUAACCAAGCCCCUAGUUGUAGAUUUUAUCUUUUUACUGGAUUUCUCUCUUAAAAAGUAGCAGCAAGAAUAUUUUUUUCAUCAAAGGAUAAAGUUCGAGGUCUUGCUUUUUUCACGAGCAAAUUGAUCUCUUUAAAAAACUUGUCAUUCUUUCCGAAGGGAAGACAGAUGUUUGCACAAAAAAUAGAAUAGGCAACACUAUAAAACACAAAAUUGUAUGUAAUAAUACCGUUGUUUGCACUGCAUGGUUUAGUCCUCCUUGUAUUUUUAUCUCUAGUUUGAUUAACUUAUCCAUGUCAAGUACUUGGAGCUCUUCUCCCUUAAGCCGCCACAAUUACAAUUGUGUCUCAACUGUGCAAUGAACUCAAAUAUGCAUUACAAGAAAUCAUUAAUUUACAGCCAUAUUUUACCUUAACUCACGAGUCUUGUCCACGUACAUCUUGUUGAGCAUGCCAUAGCUACAUCUUCCUGAGAGGAAAAUGCAAAUAGGGUUAUUCGAAUAUCACACAUGACAUAAUAAUUUUCAGUACUUGAAAUAUUAUCAUGUUAUUGACAUUAUAUUGUUUAAAUACAAAGUUCAUUUAUUUAGUCAAGUUCAUCAUUUACUUAGUUAAGUUUAUUCACGUCUUUGGGAUAAUGCAUGCGUACUUUAAUAAAUUAGUUUAGUCAUGUACUUGGAAGAUACACAAAUUUUUUUAACUGUUAGUUCACAUUUAGCCCUUGUUUGAGUCCCAUUUUUAUGUUGAAAUGAAUUUUAUAAUAGUGAUUUUUUUUGGAGAACGUGUAGUUAAAAAAUUAAGAAAAAAUUUGUUUACAUACAAAUUAUUUUAUCCAUAAAAUGUAUGGUUGAACUGAAUAUGAGAAAAAAUGAAUUAUUGAAUAAUAGGAUCAAAUAAGGGCUCGAUAACUAGUACAUAUAUUAGAUUAAAUUCGUUCUUUGUGAAGCCUAUAAAAGUUGAGUAGUCUCUUAAAUAUUAUCUUCUCGUCCAAAGUUGUUGCAUGAGUCAUUUUUGGUGUGUUACGGAAAUAAAGUUGACUGUUCUCUUGAAUAAUAUUUUCUUCUCUUCUAGAAGUUAUUGUUCCAUCUCCAAUUUUUCAACAAAAAUAGCUUUAAAGCGAGGUUGUAAGAGUGUGAAAAGAAGAAAUGACAAACAAUAAUUCUUUUUCAUUCCUUGUGCACUAAUGACAAUGUAGUACGCGGAAUAUUUGAAUGAAGGCAUAUCUUGAAAGUCAAGAUUUGUGGGACUUGUCACAUAGAGGUUCCGCACCUCAAAAUGAAGAAGGCAUGUUUAAAGCACAAAGAGAUUUGCAACAAGCAACUAAGAGGAGGAUAAAAAAUGCUCUUAGUACGAUUCAUCGAGAUUUUGAUGAUACAAUUUUUCAAAAUUUGUCAAAUAGUACCUCUUCAAAGCAAGCAUGUGGUAUUCUUCAAAAUAUAUAUGAAGGUGCAAACAAAGUCAAAAAAAUUUCAUCUUCAACUUUUAGAGGAAAAUAUGGAGUUCUAUCCAUGAAGGAAUCUGAAUAAAUUUUAGAUUACUCUUCGCAAAUAUUGAUGGUUAUCAAUAAGAUGAAUAGGUAUGAUGAAGUAAUCUUCAAGAAACCAAAAAAGCUCCUAAAUCUUCACAUAAAAAAAUUCAAUUUUAUGGUAGUGGCAAUUGAAGAAUCCAAAUACUUGGAAGAAAUAACCAUUGAUAAAGUCAUGAGUAUGCUCACAAGGAGAAGUUGAAAAAGAAGAAAGAACAAGCGAUACAAAUCUUUCUUUGAAAGACAAUAAAGACAAGUACAAUAUGAACCAAAGAGGUAGAGGAUACGGAAGAGGACAUAAAAGAGGAGACCGAAAUUUCCAACGUUCAUUCAAAAAUUAAGGGAAUUAUCAAUACUUAUAGAAUUCAAGAGGACGAAGACAUAAUUCUCAAAGAAGAGGAAGAAAAAACGAUGGUGGGGAUAUGAUAAAUGUCAAAUUGAAUGCUAUAAUUAUCACAUACUUGGUCAUUUCGCAUGGAUGCGCAUAGUAACAAUGUGGAGGAGCAGCCCUUAACAAUGUUAAAAAAAGGAGAAGGCAAAAAAACAAAAAAUAAAAAACUUAAUACUUUGUGUACAAUGUACAAAAAGCAAGCAACAAUCAUAUGAGCGGAGACAAAUCAAUAUUCAUAGAACUUAAAGAACUAAAUGGUUAUGUUACAUUUGGAGAUGAUUCAAAGGUUCAAGUCAAGGAUAAAGCUAAAAUUCUCAACCUAAUGAAGAACGAAGAACAUCAAUACAUUUCCAAUGUUUACUAUGUUCCUUCCAAAUAUUUGGAGUUCGGGACAAUUUUUGGAUAAAUAAUAUGACAUCCCAAUGAAGAAUCAAUAAAUGAUGAUGAAAGAUUGCAAUGAAAACAUGAUUUCUAGAUUUUCAAUGACAAAAUUGAAUUUUCUUGUUGAAUAUUCGAAGUGAAGAAGUGGAGUGCUUGAAGGCAUGUGCUAAAGAUUCAACAUGUUUAUGGCAUUUGAGGCUUGAUCAUCUAAAUUUUAAUGGUCUAAACCUCCUGACGAUGAGAAAUAUGGUUAAGGGUCUACCACAUAUUCAUCAUCCAAAUAAAUUUCUUGUCUCUAUGAAAAGCAAGAAAGGCAUUCACGAAAGAAGCAAGUUUUCGAGCAUCAUGACUACUUGAAUUAGUGCAUACAGAUCUCUGGGGAACAAUCCAGCCCGCAUCUUUUGGUAAAGGUAAUUACUUCAUGCUAUUUAUUGAGGACUUCUCUUACAAAACACCAGUGUAUUUUCUUAGAGAAAAGAUUGAUGCAUUUGAGGCUUUCAAGAAUUUCAGGGCGAUGGUGAAAAGUUUAAGUGUCACAAAAUGAAAACCUCAUAUCGGAUCAUGGUAGUGAAUAUAUUAGAAACACAUUCAAGAAUAUAUGUAAAGAUCAUGGUAUUUAUCAUUCUUUAAUAGCAAAGAGGAAGAGUAGGACUCGUGAAAAUGACUCGAAGUAUUUUGAAAACUGAGAACAUGCAAAAGUUCUAGGCUGAAGCUGCUCAGUGUGCUCUAUAUUUGUUGAAUCACUGUCCCAUCUAAGUGUGCAAAAUGACACCUAAAGAAGCAUGGAGUGGAUUCCAGCCAAGUACAUCAUAUUUUUGGAUUUUCAAGAGCGUUGCUUUAUCUCGUGCUCUGAAAGAAAGGAUAAAACUAGAUGCAAGAGAGAAAUAUAUCUUAGUUGGCUGUGUUUAAGAUCAAAAUGUAAUAAGCUAUACAACCCAAUGAAUAAGUAGGUGAUCACUAGUAGAGAUGUUGAGUACGACAUUGGAAUUGGCAAAAUCAGCAAGAUUAUACUAUAAUUUUUUUUUUCCUUUCGAUGAUGAUGAACAAGUUGAUGUGAUUCGGCCUCAAAUAUCACCAUCAACUCCACCUCGAAAUUAUGGUCAAGAUAUAAGUUCAUCUUCAUCAUUUUCAAGUAAAAUACCACAUCAUUUUAGAAGUCUUAGGGAGAUUUAUUUUGAUACGGAGGAGUUAUGUCGACAUCUUGGGAAAUUAACUUUGUUUUGUCUAUUUGCCAAUCCUGCAGUUAUUGAUUUCGAUGACGCCAUUCGAGAUAAUCAAUGAAAGAAAGACAUUAAAGAAAUGAUAAAAGCAAUUAAGAAGAAUAAUUAGGCAAUUGGAAGCUAGUUGAGAGUGGACAACAUGUUUAUUGUUUGAGAGUGGAUUAGGAAAUUAAUUAAUUAAAGAGAAGAAAAUUAAACAAUAAAAUAUUACAUUAAAUGGGAUCCACCUACAUGAUUCUACUUGGGUUGGAGAAGACUCGCUCUCGAAUCUUUAGUCACUCAUCCAACACAUUAUAGAGACGGUUAUUCAACUAAUAUGUCAAUGUCAUAGAUAUUAUCCAUAUAUCUUGAUUCUAAAGAUCAUGAAAAAAAUUGUGCAAUUAAUUAAUUUUUUUCACUUCUAUCCCACAGUAUCCCAACAAAUUCACUGAAACAUUCAGAGUUAUUGCGUUGCAAAAUUUUGGGAUGUCCAAAUGGUCCAAGUAUAUUUGAUCCUAUGUCUAGUUCAACCAUGUGGCCUUCUACUAGAAACUGACCAUUUAAGUGUGAAAAUUAUUUCAUUUACAUCAUAGUGGUUCCAAUUUUACCAACUUCCAUAAUUUCAUGAUGAUCAUCUCUUGACAUUGAGAAUUGAUUCUCAAAAUCAGUAAGUUGAUCCAUAUUCUUCCUCAACGAAUUUGUGUCUGACUCCAUCUUAACAUCAGUACAACAAUAUGAAUUGUUGUUCCCACGGGUGUUGCUCGCCAAUCUCAUAACCAACGUUAGCCCCCCAAUUACCGGAACACUCUCUAUCUCUGAGUUUUCCAUUUGCAACAUAUCUACAGUCAAGCUCUCAACUAAACCCAUCAUUGCACCAGUCUCUUUUAGCCAUAACAUGCACGCCAUGGUCACUGCCUCCUGCCUCUCGCCUAUCGGCAUAAAGGUCACUCACCAUCUAUUGUGGAGGGAUAACCAAUCUGGCCACCUUUUUGUGUCACGACCUCAGGAUAUUGACAAAUUUGUAUUAGCUCAUGUCUACGGUUUCCAUUAUCAACCAUGAAAAUAAGACGUUUAACUUGUCCUCCUCGAUCCAUUGUUGGAAGCAUAGACUAACUAUGAUAUCAACUAACACAUGCGAAAGCUUAAACAAUAACAAAUAUGGGAUUAAAAAUGAAAAUUCGAAUACGAAUUAAUCAUUUAGGUGGAUAAAUGAAAAAAAAAUUGGAACUUUCUAUUCAUAUAAAAAAUCCACCACCAUACAAUUCAAUUAUAACACCAAAUUUAUUCAACACUCCUAACUAGCCUUUUAUGCAAAACAAACUCAAGAAAAAUUACUUAUUUCGAUUAAACUCCUAAUCAUAAUAAAAUGAUAAUGGACUAGUUAAUUAAAAAAAUAAAAUUGAACAAUAUAAUCUUAAAGUAAACAGACUACUUGCAUCAUAGAUUUAAUUGGGCACAUGGAGGAAACGUAAAUCUGCAAUUAAUAAGCUGGAAACAAUCUAUGUGCAAUAUUUAAACUCAUACGGCAAUGUUUAAAAUUGACUGCAUUAAUUCGAUUUUGAAGUCUUAUUUAUCUUUAUUUUCUUGUUAUAAUUACAGUAUAUGAAGCAUAAUCACGAACAACAAUUUAAAGUUGAAUUGUCUAUAAAUGGUAUGUCUCACCUUAAGUCAGAAGAAAAGUUGCCCUAAUUUGUUGGAAUUCUCUGAUUACCUUCUAUGCCAUUCAAUUAGUUGCAUCAUGCUGCAGAAUGAUACAUCGGGAAAAAAAUUUCAGCUAAUUAAACUAAGAGCAGAUGAAAUCAAAAUCUAAUACUUCUAUAAAUAGAAUGAGAGUUUGCUAUCAAAUACACAACUCAAAGGUACGAAUUAAUGCAUGUUUUGUAAUCAAUACGAAAUUCAAUAGUAUGACGAUUCUUUUUACUUUAGCAAAUAUAUUCAAUCAUACUAUAUUCUAGAAGGUUAAUUUAAAAUGCGUGCAGCUGCACUUAUGUGUUUGCGUGAGACUGUUGAAAUUAUAGGAAUUUGUUGUACACCAGGAUGUUCUGACAGGGUUGACACCUCUUUACCACCCUCAUCAUCUACUGAUCCCCAACCUUUUAUUAGUAAUACCAAAAAGAAAGAGUAUCUCAAAACUGAAGCAAGUAGAACUAUAUAUUAGUUUUCAGUUUUUCCCUUUCAAGUGCCAGCUAAGAAUUAUAGGGACCUUGUGCAUUUACGAGUGUGAAAUAUUUUCCUAGUGUCACUUUGGAACGUGGAAUAUAUAUUGGUUAACCAUUUAAGCUGUUAGAAAACAUAAAUUAAUAAGUGUCCUCGUAGAUGUUGAUAACUACUUGCAGAAAGAUUUUUGAUUCCAUAUAUAGAUGUUAGAUGUUAACGUUUGAAACUUCAAUAGGUCUACGUCUUGUUUAAGCAAUGGAAAAAUCCAAUAUAUCUGUGAGAGAUAAUAUCUGAUUGAAUAGUAAGCCAAUGGAUUUUCUAGUGCAAGCUGGAAUCAGUAUUUUCAUGUCGAACUGCAAGUCAUGCACAAAUUUCUUAAUUGUGGGCAGCUAAAGACUUCAACUUAAGACAUUGGCGUGAUAUGGUACCAUUUUAAACUAUAUUAUUUUAAAGCUUAAAGAUAUGGGGAAAGGAGUAUGUUCUCGAUAAGACAAUAUUGGAUAGGAAAACAACUAAUAUCUCACAUGUUUAAGGUACAUAGCAUGAACCUUAGACAAAAAAUAAAAAAAAUAAAAUACAACCAAGCCAUCUCUCACAAAGGGUGCUAUUGCACUCAUGACUUAUACUGCCGACAGUCCCACAUUGACUCUCAAAAUGAACAUAUUCAAUAGCAUUUGCCCACUAUUAAUGAUCAAAAGAUUUGUUGAAAACACCUCUGAGCUACGAGAAUACUUUUUAUUUUGUUCCAUCCCUGUGUUCACAUUUUUCUGCAUGAUUAUUGUUGUUCAACUAUACAUCAUGCCCUGCCGCCUCCCCUUCACCAAAAGCUAGUUUGCAGAAGCACGCUGGAGAAAAACAUUUGAUAUAUAUCAACGUACCCUUCACCCCUAGUCUUGUUCGAUUCUUUGUAUAACACUUGUAGAUUAUUUGCAUCCAUAUCCAAGCUACAAUUCUCUACCUGAUAAUUUCCAUUACUACCCAAUUAAUUCCUAGCUUCUCAAAAGAAGUUUUCUGUGGUUUUAGCCCAUUAAAAUCUUUAGUUUUUGACACAAAACUAGCUAAGAAUUGAAACUCAGUAGCCAAAAGCAUCAAAGCUUCGACCCCAGUAGCAUGUUGUAUGUGCGUGUUCAAGAGAGAGAAGAGAGGAAAUUAGAGAAACUUGAGCUAGAAUAAUGGAUGAGUUUACCAGUAGCAGAAAAACAAUUAGGGCAAUCUCAGAAUCAGAAAGAGUAGAGUUCUUGAGCCUUUUUCAAAACCCUUCUGCUUCUCAUUGAAAAGGUCACUCUGCGUGCCAUCAAGUUAUCAAUCUCCUUGAUCUGAAUCUUCCGUCUCACCAUUUUCACAGUACAUUCAUUGCGAAAAAAUAUUAUCCCUUGUUUUUCAACCAAACAUUGUCCAUCAAUCUAUUCAAAAAUAUAUUCUUUGCUAAAAAUGGGGCUCAAAUAUAUGUGUAUGUUAUUGGUACAAUAAGAAAUAUAUUUUGAUUGUUCGUUGAUAAAAAUAAGGAAAAAAGAAACAAAGCAUAUUUUCACGGAAUCUGAAACCAAAACCCAAAAAAAUGGAAAUCACCGUUAGAAGAAUCAUUGUGUCUUUUUGCAAAAAUAGAAUUCUUCGACGGUGUCAAAUUUAAUAAUUCAGGGAAGAGACGAAAACCUCCACGUGCAGAAGUGAAACCCUAGAGAGAGAAAGUAGAGAGCAUCUAAAAUCAGUGAAGUGGCAGUGGAAGUAUCAAUAAAGUUGGUUUGCAAAUUAAAGGUUGAACCAAAUUUGAGGGCCCAUCGCCCCGCCUCGAGAAUUUUGUGAGGGAGGUAAAUUGUGAAAUGUGUUCCAACAGAUUAGAAAAUAAGAACUAUUUGUACACUGCGUCUACAAGGAGUCCAAUUCCAUGUCUCAAGAAUCGAAUCUCCACACUACGACUGUCAACAAGGCGUGAAAUAACAUCACUCUCGUCUUUUGCACAACUGAAUUAUACCCCGAGGACAAGUUGGUUUGCAAAUUG